CGGCAUCUGGAGGUUCCCAGGUCAGGGGUCCAAUCAGAGCUACAGCUGCCAGCCUGCACCACAGUCACAGCAACGCCAGAUCUGAGCUGUGUCUGCGACCUACACCACAGCUCCCGGCAACGCCAGAUCCUUAACCCACUGAGUGAGGCCCGGGAUCGAACCCACAGUCUCAUGGACGCUAGUCAGGUUUGUUACCACUGAGCUAUGACGGGAACUUCACAGAUAUUUUUUAUGGACAUAGUUUAUCAUUUAAUUCUGUUUGUGAUGUGUCUCUGUCACCACGCCGAAUUCUCAUAUGGUUGAAUAUAAGGCUCUCCUAUUAUUUGUCCUAUUUUAUAAUUUAAUCCAUCCCAACACUGAUACCAUAAAAACAUUUUCCUAUAUUUUCCUCUCAAAGUUGCGAAAUUUUGCUUUCCCAGCUGAGUUCUUGCGUCCAAGGGAAGGGGCUGGUGUCACGGGGUGGGGGCUCUGACUGCAUCUCCCCACAGACGGCACCUUGGCCCCCAGCCUCACCAGCGUCCCCUCCCCGGGGCUGAGCUCACGGCGCAGAAGGCCUGCAGCUCCUCCUCCAGGACGUCCCACGGGACCUGCCAUCCAGGCUGGCAGGGGCGGCGCCCACCCUCCUCUCGUGCUGCUCCUGCAGUCCGGCCACCUGGGUCCCCUGACAGGUGACCAGCUUGCCAUCUGGGAGCGUUCCUGGGCCUGUCGGCUGCGCCUCCUCCCUCCCCGAUCCGGUGGCCUGUCAGGGUCCAGACACGCCGCCUCCUCCAGGAUGGACCCUGCGAUUCCGCCUCCUGCGCUGGCUGGCUUCCGACCAGGGCUGCCAGGAGACUACGCUUCACUUGGCUGCCCUCAGCGUUUGGUUUGCUUCUGUGUUCUUUCCAAGCACGCCGCGGUCAGCCCGGUACACUACGGGCUGAACUCCUUGUCCAGAACACGCCCCGAGGUGACCUGCUCCCGGACCUGCCACCACCUGCACCCUGAGCUCCGGCGUGUGUGUCGUCCACUCAGCAAACACCCACCGGGCACCGACUCGGCCCGACCCUGCCUUAGCGGGCUGGGACGUGCCAGGGACCAAAGCAGGCGAGAACGCCUGCUCCUGCAGAGCUCCCGCUGGAAAAGCUCCACUGGGAUUCCCACUUUGAUCCAGGAAACGCUUUAAAGCAUCUCCUUUGGUUUGUGAGCAGUGAAGAUUUGAGGGUCUGGAGAAGGACGCCGCGUGCUGCUGCUGCUGCGGGAACUAGCAACUCUCUGCAGUCUGCGCAAGUUGUUCCAUCAAGACCGUUUCUGUAGGGCGCCCACGCUUACGUGUUUUAUUUUCCAUUCUUAUUUAGUUUCUGGCUGCGCUCACGGCACCUGGAAGUUCCCGGGCCACAGAUCGAACCAUCCACAGCCGGCUGGAUCCUCAACCUGCUGCAGCACCAGGGAACCCCAAAUGCUCAUUUUAAAAGAGCAGGCUCCCAACAACAGUGCACUGCACCCAGCCUGCCCCCCGUGUGCUCAGACCCCCGGGCCUCCCUCCACUCUCACCUGCCUCACGGCCAGGUCUAUACUCAAGCCACCGGGGCAGCUCAGCUCCCUUCCCCCCGGCACUCUGUCGGGUUUGAAAACCCACUUUGCGUGCUGCCGGCAGAGCAGUGAGCGCCACACGCCCCCGCCCCCAGGGGCUUCUGUUUCCUAGUCCACGACUCUCUCGCCCUAGUAACUCCUUUUGUCCUAAGACCCCAACAGACAGGUGAGAAGCAAGCAGGGCAAAGCCAGAACUACCCGAGUUGGGAGCGGCGAGGCCGACUGCAGAGAGCCCCUGGGAGGGAGGGAGGGAAGAGCCAGGGCCAGGCCGGUGCGCACGAGCGCCCCCUCCCGAGGCCCUCCUUGGAGGGCGGCAGCACCGGAGAGCCCUGUGCUCACAUUCAGACCCCUGCGGCCCCUGCCGGCCCCAGGCAGCGCCUCCUCUGCGUGGCAGGCGUGCCCGGGCUGCGGACGUGCUCCCACGGCCACGCUCCCCUCAGCCCUGCCGAGCAAGGCCCACGAGCCUCCGGGCCCAGACUCGGUCUCGCCCGGAUCCCCUACGCCUCGGCCCCCUUCCACCCGUGAGGCCGCCUGGCGGCUCCCUCCUCCUGAAUGGCCAGGGCGUCGGGCGAGCCUCCGGGUCUCUCCUGGCCGGCGCUAGGUCCCCUGGUCCUUUCCAGGGCCCUGGUCACGGCUCCCAACCACACACGGCCCCACGGGCCUGCGGCAGCCAGCAUCCACUCAGGGGCCCUCGCUCAGAGACGCAGGCCCUCCUGGAGCCGGAGGCGCCCUUUCCUUAAGGGCAGCGGUGCGUCCUAGAACCCCUCAGCCCAGCCCUCUGCGUGUGGUCAGGAGCAGGGGCAGCAUCCGCUCAGUGCCCGCAGCGAGUCUGGCAGAUUCCCAUGCGGCUGGCAGUUGGGGCAUCUGUCGACCUGGCCCCUCCCUCAGGGAGAAGGAUGCUUAGCAAAACCUCCAUCAGAAUGCGGUGCCCACGGUCCCUGGACAGGCACCCUCGCCACCCCUCACACCUCUGCCCAUGGCCAGGUGUGAGCGCCACCACGUGGCGACGCCGCCAGCCCCGAGCACGCAGGGAUGGCUCGCGGUCUGUAAGCCGUCGGCAUCUGCCCUGGUCUCCCGUCCCCAAACCACAGCCUCGUCCUUUUAAGCCGGCUGCAGCAUGAAGGACAAGGUCCAAGCCCCUGAGCCGGACGGACGAGUGCCUGACACACGACCCACGUCGCCCAGAGUCCAUGUUCUCCGCCCGCUGAACGGCCCGCGCGCGGCCUGAGACCUGCCCGGCUGCAGCUCCCCGGCUGGAGCCAAGGACUCGGUGACCCUCCGGCGUUUCACCGCCGUCCCCGGGGCAGGCCCACCGUCCUCUGGAGGCCCAGGCCCGGCCAGAGGGACCCUCUCCACGCACCGUCCAGCUUCAUCUGCUCCGGGCAGUAGUAGUGGACCACAGCCAGGAGGGCGGCCCCGUCACUGCCAUCCCUCAUCAGGUCCUCCAGCAGCGGGAAGUGGGGCGGCUGCCUCGCGGACAGGUGUUCUCGGCGGUAGCGCACCUGCAGCGGGGAACAGGAAGAGGGUCACGGCGCGGGCAGCCCACGUGCCGUGACGGCACCUGCACCACCACGACCACGGGCAGGCCGUGAGGUCUAGGGUCAGCAGAGCUCCUGCCGCACAACUCGGAGCAGCCGAAUCACGCGGAAGAGCCCAAAUGCCCAGACGGCACACUCUGCCUGGCCCGCCGUCAAGAUUCAGUGGUGGGGCUUUGUGGCCACACCGGGUGACAGCAAUGAGCUGCUAGGGACACCAGGGCCACCUCGCUCUUCGGGGCCACGCAGGCCCAGGGGAGGAGGCAGGCGGCCCUCCACGCAGAGGCCCGUGUACCAUGAGCCUGAGAAACAAGUUUCCAGGGGAGCAUCCGAACCCCUGCAAGACCCGCACUGCCGCUGCUUUUCGCAAAACGACCGGCAUCACCCCGGCCGCUGGGAAAAGCAGGGGGGGCAGGGGAGCACCGUCACCCAGCCCGAGGGGUCGGCAAGCCAGGUCGGACCCAACGCCACCAAACACACCAACCCGCCCCCGGCAGGUGCACGGGAGCGUCAGGAACCCGCGUGCAGGCAAAGUGCGCCCGGCAGAGGCACGGGGGUCAAGGUCUCUGCUCGCUGCCUGGGUCUUUUGAGCCCCCGCUGCCGCCAGGCCCCCCCGCAGGGAAGCGUGGCGUUUCCCGCAGCCGCCUCCUCCCCAGGGAGGAGGACACAGCGCCAGCCCCAGGGAGAAAGCCCGCUGCCCGCGGACCUGAGAGCCGCUCAGAGCUCAACCCUACGAGCGCUGCCCCGCAGCCUGGGACCCGGAGUCGUCGCCCAGCGAGGGCACAGGGCAGGGCGGUCAGCACUGGCCUCUGGGCAGAACCCUCAGCCUGUCCUCCUCCACUUCGGGUCACUGGCCCCGGCUUCGACGUGGCCUCUAACUUGUUUCUCGGGCUCGCAUGCAGGGCACGAGGCAUGCGCAGGCUCCACGCACAGACAGACAGCACACAGGCGAGCACGGCAUGCAGGGAAGCGCGUGUUCUCGGCCGAGGAUGGACGGCAGCACGCGAGCCCGGGAAGGGACCCUGCCAGGGGGCCCUGCUCGGAGGAAAGCCUCACGGGAGGAAAGCUGAAGGGUCUCUGCCUUGGGUCACAUCUUCCAGCUUCCAGAAAACUCUCACCCAAAACCCUGCCUCCUGUCGGGCCCUACACUUCUGACGGUGGCUGCGGUGAGCCUCAGAAGGGAGCAGGUGGCUCUGGGGCCUUGGGGAUUUAAGACUCCGUGGAGAGGAAUGUAAACACCCAUCCAGACGCGUCCCCCUCUGGUAGCGAGACAUUCCAAGGAGCAGCAGACGUCGCCACGGCCACAAACGGGGCUGUUUCUCACUGCUCACACAGAUCCCGCUUACAGCCUGGAUCCACGGUUCCUCCUUGAUGACAGAAUGCUAAGGAUGUUUGACCCAAAUAACUAAACUAAAGGGACAGGCAAAAGGAGUGGGCAAAACAAUUCGUUCUCCAACAUUCCAUUGUAAAAUGGACCACCUGGAGUGGCAAGAGUUUUGCCGCAGGACAGUGUGACAAACGGGUCCUGCUUCCAGAGUGCGUCGCCAAGGGGGGCAGAGCCAGACUGCAGGGCCAGGUCCUCGGGGCAGAAACAUCGGGGAAGAACAGCAGCCGAGGGGAAACCAGACGGCGGGGCCCUCCUGGGCCCUGUCGGGGAGGGGGGGCUCUGCCUUCACCUCUCAGCUCCCCCUGGGCCCCGUCAGCAGGGGGGGGCCUCUGCCUUCACCUCUCAGCUCCCCCUGGGCCCCAUCGGGGGUGGGGGGGGCUCUGCCUUCACCCCUCAGCUCCUCCUGGGCCCCGUCAGUGGGGGGGAGCCUCUGCCUUCACCUCUCAGCUCAGCAGUGGGGGGCCUCUGCCUUCACCUCUCAGCUCCUCCUGGGCCCCGUCGGGGGGGAGGGGGCUCUGCCUUCACCUCUCAGCUCCCCCUGGGCCCCGUCAGCAGGGGGGACCCUGUCCUCUUCCUCUCAGCUCCUCGGUAAAGAGAGGACUGAAAGUCCACAGAGGACACACAAAACCGCCUGUAAAUUUACUCUGCCUGUCGUUGGCUCUAAAACGCCACUGAGUCCCCACGGGCCUCGCCCCGUCCACCCUGCCCAGAACCGGGCUGCUCCGGCACCACCACCACACGGGGAGGACAGUCCACAGAGAAACGGCCGCGCGCGGUUUUGGAUGGAAGCAGGUGACGGCGACAGGACGGCUGUCUGGGCGGCGGCAGUGCGAGGUCACUUACGGGCACUAACUUCCAGUACCACUUGGAGGGAGACUGCGGGAGGCGCGGGAAGGAAGGCAGGAGAAGAGGUCAGCAGGGCCAGCUGCGUGGGGACCAGGAGCCCCGCCCCAGCGCUCACAGGACGGGCGGGCGUCCUCGAGGGACAAGGUCUGUCCGGUGCCCGCGGCCCGACAUGCCGCCUGGCAGAUGACCGCAGUGGACGGCCACCCGCGCGACACCAGCCGCUGCGCGAGCUAAGGACACUCUGGACGCGCACGCGGCUGGCCACCAAGAGCGAGGGGCCCCGACCACACUCGGGGAGAGGCUCGGCGAGCGCCCCCUGCCCACCUGGGGAAUGGGGAGGCCAAGGGAAGGGGGACGAGACAAUCCCCGGAGCCCAGGGGGAGGGAGGGGCCGGGGACUCGCUCGCUCCGCAGCCCAGGAGCGGCGGGCAGGCAGGCAGGCCAGGCCAGGCCGGCCUCGAGGACGCGGCUUCAGGCCCGCAGGUCGGGAAGAACAGGACGGGAGGGCUGAUCUCCCUGGUCCCCUGACGGGGGC
This 5871-nucleotide long non-coding RNA is filed under the name Sus scrofa (pig). RNAcentral describes it as "lncRNA (ENSSSCG00055002817.1)". Lineage: Eukaryota; Metazoa; Chordata; Mammalia; Artiodactyla; Suidae. The record is from RNAcentral.